UUUGCUGGGUAGGGGAGCGUUCUGUAAGCCGUUGAAGGUGUGUUGAGAAGCAUGCUGGAGGUAUCAGAAGUGCGAAUGCUGACAUGAGUAACGAUAAUGGGGGUGAAAAACCCCCACGCCGGAAGACCAAGGUUUCCUAUCCCAUGUUAAUCAGGGUAGGGUAAGUCGGCCCCUAAGGCGAGGCCGAAAGGCGUAGUCGAUGGGAAACGGGUUAAUAUUCCCGUACCGACAUGAACUGCGAUGGGGGGACGGAGAAGGCUAGGCAAGCCGGGUGUUGGUUAUCCCGGUGAAAGUAUGUAGGUUGGUGGUUUAGGAAAAUCCGGACCGCUAAGACUGAGAUACGAGACGAGCAUCUACGGAUGCGAAGUUGUUGAUGCCAUGCUUCCAGGAAAAGCCUCUAAGCUUCAGGUUCAUGUUGACCGUACCCCAAACCGACACAGGUGGUCAGGUAGAGAAUACUAAGGCGCUUGAGAGAACUCGGGUGAAGGAACUAGGCAAAAUAGUACCGUAACUUCGGGAGAAGGUACGCCAGAGCUGGUGAAGUCCACACGGACGGAGCCGGAGCUGGCCGCAGUGACCAGGUGGCUGGGACUGUUUAUUAAAAACACAGCACUCUGCAAAAUCGAAAGAUGACGUAUAGGGUGUGACACCUGCCCGGUGCCGGAAGGUUAAUUGAUGGGGUUAGCGUAAGCGAAGCUCUUGAUCGAAGCCCCGGUAAACGGCGGCCGUAACUAUAACGGUCCUAAGGUAGCGAAAUUCCUUGUCGGGUAAGUUCCGACCUGCACGAAUGGUGUAACCAUGGCCACGCUGUCUCCACCCGAGACUCAGUGAAAUUGAAAUCGCCGUGAAGAUGCGGUGUACCCGCGGCUAGACGGAAAGACCCCGUGAACCUUUACUACAGCUUGGCACUGAACAUUGAACCUCCAUGUGUAGGAUAGGUGGGAGGCUAUGAAGCGUUGGCGCUAGUUGACGUGGAGCCAUCCUUGAAAUACCACCCUUGUAUGUUUGAUGUUCUAACUUAGCCCCAUUAUCUGGGGUGAGGACAGUGCCUGGUGGGUAGUUUGACUGGGGCGGUCUCCUCCCAAAGAGUAACGGAGGAGCACGAAGGUUGGCUAAGUACGGUCGGACAUCGUACGGUUAGUGUAAUGGCACAAGCCAGCUUAACUGCGAGACAGACACGUCGAGCAGGUGCGAAAGCAGGUCAUAGUGAUCCGGUGGUUCUGAAUGGAAGGGCCAUCGCUCAACGGAUAAAAGGUACUCCGGGGAUAACAGGCUGAUACCGCCCAAGAGUUCAUAUCGACGGCGGUGUUUGGCACCUCGAUGUCGGCUCAUCACAUCCUGGGGCUGUAGUCGGUCCCAAGGGUAUGGCUGUUCGCCAUUUAAAGUGGUACGCGAGCUGGGUUUAGAACGUCGUGAGACAGUUCGGUCCCUAUCUGCCGUGGGCGUUUGAGAGUUGAGAGGGGUUGCUCCUAGUACGAGAGGACCGGAGUGAACGAACCGCUGGUGUUCGGGUUGUCAUGCCAAUGGCACUGCCCGGUAGCUACGUUCGGAAUCGAUAACCGCUGAAAGCAUCUAAGCGGGAAGCGAGCCUCAAGAUAAGCUCUCACUGACAUGUAAUUGUCCUAAAGGGUCGUUGGAGACUACAACGUUGAUAGGCGGGGUGUGGAAGCGUAGUAAUGCGUUGAGCUAACCCGUACUAAUUGCCCGUGAGGCUUAACCAU
This 1721-nucleotide ribosomal RNA is filed under the name Pseudidiomarina fusca. RNAcentral's name for it is "Pseudidiomarina sp. GXY010 partial 23S ribosomal RNA". It matches the Rfam family "Bacterial large subunit ribosomal RNA", at positions 1220 to 2925 of the family's 2925-position model. The record is from RNAcentral. Lineage: Bacteria; Pseudomonadati; Pseudomonadota; Gammaproteobacteria; Alteromonadales; Idiomarinaceae.